CUCCAAAUCUUCUUCCGUCUUGCAAGCGACCUCGCCGCCGUCAGGGAUGCUUGGAUAGCUGCGGAGGAAGGUAACCGGCCAGCAAUAAUAGGUCUUGUUGAUGCUCUUCUCCGAUAGCGCUGGCUUGUAGGUGGUCUCCACCACCACCAUUACGGGGAAGCCGAGGCUUCCGUCGACGAGGUGCCUGUCGUAGAGGUAGUACAGCGAUGCAUUUUGUCCUUGCUGUGUGAGGCUUAUCCACCUUCUGUAUCUGUGCGAGCUGUGCGGCUGCAGCUCGAAGCUGACAUUCCUCUCCGGAUCCGGCUUGAACCAGGAGAGCUCCACCAUCUCCACGAAGGACGCAUUGGGGAUGUCCAUGAUCCUGACGAUGUUGAUGUUGCCCUGGAUCUGGCCGCGGCCGCUGGGGUUGAGGGCGUGGAUGAUGAUCAACAUCUGCACCUCUUUCGCUGGCUCGUACACACGCGUGGUGUUGUUAUAAUUCCACCACCAUUCUAUUGUCUGGACAUAGCCGUAGCUCUGGAAGCCCAUCUCCACAGGGCGGUGGACGAAGACGAUCACCAUCACCACCACUGCAACGGCGAGCACGGAGACCACAAUGGCCACCAGUGAGCGCACCGUGGCUAGGAAGGGGAAUGUAGUGUUCUCGCCAGCGCGGCAUGCUGCCAUUUUUUCUGUGUCGGUUCACGUAGGUAGGGUGGAU
RNAcentral lists this long non-coding RNA (700 nucleotides) under Setaria viridis. RNAcentral describes it as "long non-coding RNA (SVIR_LNC010004)". Lineage: Eukaryota; Viridiplantae; Streptophyta; Magnoliopsida; Poales; Poaceae. The record is from RNAcentral.